AGGACGAACGCUGGCGGCGUGCUUAACCUUGCAAGUCGAACGCGGUCCAUCCGGUGGCAACACUGGUGAAGGCCGAGUGGCGAACGGGUGAGUAACACGUGAGCAACCUGCCCCGAAGACCGGGAUAAGCCUGGGAAACCGGGUCUAAUACCGGACGCCCCCACCGGGCCGCAUGACCCGGUGAGGAAAUGGAUUCCGCUUCGGGAGGGGCUCGCGGCCUAUCAGCUUGUUGGUGGGGUAACGGCCCACCAAGGCGUCGACGGGUAGCUGGUCUGAGAGGACGAUCAGCCACACUGGGACUGAGACACGGCCCAGACUCCUACGGGAGGCAGCAGUGGGGAAUCUUGCGCAAUGGGCGAAAGCCUGACGCAGCAACGCCGCGUGAGGGACGAAGGCCUUCGGGUUGUAAACCUCUUUCAGCAGGGACGAUUGUGACGGUACCUGCAGAAGAAGCCCCGGCCAACUACGUGCCAGCAGCCGCGGUAAUACGUAGGGGGCGAGCGUUGUCCGGAUUCAUUGGGCGUAAAGAGCUCGUAGGCGGCUUAGCAAGUCGGGUGUAAAACCUCCAGGCUUAACCUGGAGACGCCACCCGAUACUGCUAUGGCUAGAGUCCGGUAGGGGACCACGGAAUUCCUGGUGUAGCGGUGAAAUGCGCAGAUAUCAGGAGGAACACCGGUGGCGAAGGCGGUGGUCUGGGCCGGUACUGACGCUGAGGAGCGAAAGCGUGGGGAGCGAACAGGAUUAGAUACCCUGGUAGUCCACGCC
This 765-nucleotide ribosomal RNA is filed under the name uncultured bacterium. Its description in RNAcentral is "bacterial SSU rRNA". It matches the Rfam family "Bacterial small subunit ribosomal RNA", at positions 26 to 801 of the family's 1533-position model. The record is from RNAcentral.